Molecule: ribosomal RNA, 440 nt
Filed under: uncultured bacterium
Lineage: Bacteria
Description: bacterial SSU rRNA
Rfam family: Bacterial small subunit ribosomal RNA
Source: RNAcentral
CCUACGGGUGGCAGCAGUGGGGAAUAUUGCACAAUGGGGGAAACCCUGAUGCAGCGACGCCGCGUGAAGGAAGAAGUAUCUCGGUAUGUAAACUUCUAUCAGCAGGGAAGAAAAUGACGGUACCUGACUAAGAAGCCCCGGCUAACUACGUGCCAGCAGCCGCGGUAAUACGUAGGGGGCAAGCGUUAUCCGGAUUUACUGGGUGUAAAGGGAGCGUAGACGGAAGAGCAAGUCUGAUGUGAAAGGCUGGGGCUUAACCCCAGGACUGCAUUGGAAACUGUUUUUCUAGAGUGCCGGAGAGGUAAGCGGAAUUCCUAGGGUAGCGGUGAAAUGCGUAGAUAUUAGGAGGAACACCAGUGGCGAAGGCGGCUUACUGGACGGUAACUGACGUUGAGGCUCGAAAGCGUGGGGAGCAAACAGGAUUAGAUACCCUUGUANUC